Molecule: ribosomal RNA, 592 nt
Filed under: Xerocomus amazonicus
Lineage: Eukaryota; Fungi; Basidiomycota; Agaricomycetes; Boletales; Boletaceae
Description: eukaryotic LSU rRNA
Rfam family: Eukaryotic large subunit ribosomal RNA
Source: RNAcentral
CCUAGUACUGCGAGUGAAGCGGGAAAGCUCAAAUUUCGAAUCUGGCGGUCUUUGGCCGUCCGAGUUGUAAUCUARAGAAGCGUCUUCCGUGCUGGCCCGUGUACAAGUCUCCUGGAAGGGAGCGUCAUAGAGGGUGAGAAUCCCGUCUUUGACACGGACGCGCAGUGCUAUGUGAUGCGCUCUCGACGAGUCGAGUUGUUUGGGAAUGCAGCUCAAAAUGGGUGGUAAAUUCCAUCUAAAGCUAAAUACAGGCGAGAGACCGAUAGCGAACAAGUACCGUGAGGGAAAGAUGAAAAGAACUUUGGAAAGAGAGUUAAACAGUACGUGAAAUUGCUGAAAGGGAAACGCUUGAUGUCAGUCGCGUCGGCCGGGGAUCAACCUUGCUUUUCGCUGGGUGUACUUCCCGCUCGACGGGUCAGCAUCAGUUUCGGUCGCCGUACAAGGGCAAAGGGAACGUGGCACUCUUCGGAGUGUGUUAUAGCCUUUCGUCGUAUGCGGUGCUCGGGACUGAGGAACUCGGCACGGCUUUUUCGUCUGUGCUUAGGAUGCUGGCAUAAUGGCCUUAAGCGACCCGUCUUGAAACACSGACCAA